RNAcentral lists this ribosomal RNA (856 nucleotides) under Bacillus pumilus. RNAcentral's name for it is "bacterial SSU rRNA". It matches the Rfam family "Bacterial small subunit ribosomal RNA", at positions 66 to 904 of the family's 1533-position model. Lineage: Bacteria; Bacillati; Bacillota; Bacilli; Caryophanales; Bacillaceae. The record is from RNAcentral.
GCGGACAGAAGGGAGCUUGCUCCCGGAUGUUAGCGGCGGACGGGUGAGUAACACGUGGGUAACCUGCCUGUAAGACUGGGAUAACUCCGGGAAACCGGAGCUAAUACCGGAUAGUUCCUUGAACCGCAUGGUUCAAGGAUGAAAGACGGUUUCGGCUGUCACUUACAGAUGGACCCGCGGCGCAUUAGCUAGUUGGUGGGGUAAUGGCUCACCAAGGCGACGAUGCGUAGCCGACCUGAGAGGGUGAUCGGCCACACUGGGACUGAGACACGGCCCAGACUCCUACGGGAGGCAGCAGUAGGGAAUCUUCCGCAAUGGACGAAAGUCUGACGGAGCAACGCCGCGUGAGUGAUGAAGGUUUUCGGAUCGUAAAGCUCUGUUGUUAGGGAAGAACAAGUGCGAGAGUAACUGCUCGCACCUUGACGGUACCUAACCAGAAAGCCACGGCUAACUACGUGCCAGCAGCCGCGGUAAUACGUAGGUGGCAAGCGUUGUCCGGAAUUAUUGGGCGUAAAGGGCUCGCAGGCGGUUUCUUAAGUCUGAUGUGAAAGCCCCCGGCUCAACCGGGGAGGGUCAUUGGAAACUGGGAAACUUGAGUGCAGAAGAGGAGAGUGGAAUUCCACGUGUAGCGGUGAAAUGCGUAGAGAUGUGGAGGAACACCAGUGGCGAAGGCGACUCUCUGGUCUGUAACUGACGCUGAGGAGCGAAAGCGUGGGGAGCGAACAGGAUUAGAUACCCUGGUAGUCCACGCCGUAAACGAUGAGUGCUAAGUGUUAGGGGGUUUCCGCCCCUUAGUGCUGCAGCUAACGCAUUAAGCACUCCGCCUGGGGAGUACGGUCGCAAGACUGAAACUCAA